GACGAACGCUGGCGGCGUGCUUAACACAUGCAAGUCGAACGGAAAGGCCCUGCUUUUGUGGGGUGCUCGAGUGGCGAACGGGUGAGUAACACGUGAGUAACCUGCCCUUGACUUUGGGAUAACUUCAGGAAACUGGGGCUAAUACCGGAUAGGAGCUCCUGCUGCAUGGUGGGGGUUGGAAAGUUUCGGCGGUUGGGGAUGGACUCGCGGCUUAUCAACUUGUUGGUGGGGUAGUGGCUUACCAAGGCUUUGACGGGUAGCCGGCCUGAGAGGGUGACCGGCCACAUUGGGACUGAGAUACGGCCCAGACUCCUACGGGAGGCAGCAGUGGGGAAUAUUGCACAAUGGGCGGAAGCCUGAUGCAGCAACGCCGCGUGCGGGAUGACGGCCUUCGGGUUGUAAACCGCUUUCGCCUGUGACGAAGCGUGAGUGACGGUAAUGGGUAAAGAAGCACCGGCUAACUACGUGCCAGCAGCCGCGGUGAUACGUAGGGUGCGAGCGUUGUCCGGAUUUAUUGGGCGUAAAGGGCUCGUAGGUGGUUGAUCGCGUCGGAAGUGUAAUCUUGGGGCUUAACCCUGAGCGUGCUUUCGAUACGGGUUGACUUGAGGAAGGUAGGGGAGAAUGGAAUUCCUGGUGGAGCGGUGGAAUGCGCAGAUAUCAGGAGGAACACCAGUGGCGAAGGCGGUUCUCUGGGCCUUUCCUGACGCUGAGGAGCGAAAGCGUGGGGAGCGAACAGGCUUAGAUACCCUGGUAGUCCACGCUGUAAACGGUGGGUACUAGGUGUGGGGUCCAUUCCACGGGUUCCGUGCCGUAGCUAACGCUUUAAGUACCCCGCCUGGGGAGUACGGCCGCAAGGCUAAAACUCAAAGGAAUUGACGGGGCCCCGCACAAGCGGCGGAGCAUGCGGAUUAAUUCGAUGCAACGCGUAGAACCUUACCUGGGUUUGACAUGGAUCGGGAGCGCUCAGAGAUGGGUGUGCCUCUUUUGGGGUCGGUUCACAGGUGGUGCAUGGCUGUCGUCAGCUCGUGUCGUGAGAUGUUGGGUUAAGUCCCGCAACGAGCGCAACCCUUGUUCACUGUUGCCAGCACGUUAUGGUGGGGACUCAGUGGAGACCGCCGGGGUCAACUCGGAGGAAGGUGGGGAUGACGUCAAGUCAUCAUGCCCCUUAUGUCCAGGGCUUCACGCAUGCUACAAUGGCUGGUACAGAGAGUGGCGAGCCUGUGAGGGUGAGCGAAUCUCGGAAAGCCGGUCUCAGUUCGGAUUGGGGUCUGCAACUCGACCUCAUGAAGUCGGAGUCGCUAGUAAUCGCAGAUCAGCAACGCUGCGGUGAAUACGUUCCCGGGGCU
RNAcentral lists this ribosomal RNA (1346 nucleotides) under uncultured bacterium. RNAcentral describes it as "bacterial SSU rRNA". It matches the Rfam family "Bacterial small subunit ribosomal RNA", at positions 28 to 1381 of the family's 1533-position model. The record is from RNAcentral.